AAUAGAUACCCGGGUAGUCCACGCCGUAAACGGUGGGCACUAGGUGUGGGCAACAUUCCACGUUGUCCGUGCCGCAGCUAACGCAUUAAGUGCCCCGCCUGGGGAGUACGGCCGCAAGGCUAAAAACUCAAAGGAAUUGACGGGGGCCCGCACAAGCGGCGGAGCAUGUGGCUUAAUUCGACGCAACGCGAAGAACCUUACCAAGGCUUGACAUACACCGGAAACGGCCAGAGAUGGUCGCCCCCUUGUGGUCGGUGUACAGGUGGUGCAUGGCUGUCGUCAGCUCGUGUCGUGAGAUGUUGGGUUAAGUCCCGCAACGAGCGCAACCCUUGUCCCGUGUUGCCAGCAGGCCCUUGUGGUGCUGGGGACUCACGGGAGACCGCCGGGGUUCAACUCGGAGGAAGGUGGGGACGACGUCAAGUCAUCAUGCCCCUUAUGUCUUGGGCUGCACACGUGCUACAAUGGCCGGUACAAUGAGCUGCGAUACCGUGAGGUGGAGCGAAUCUCAAAAAGCCGGUCUCAGUUCGGAUUGGGGUCUGCUAACCG
This 546-nucleotide ribosomal RNA is filed under the name uncultured bacterium. RNAcentral describes it as "bacterial SSU rRNA". It matches the Rfam family "Bacterial small subunit ribosomal RNA", at positions 777 to 1314 of the family's 1533-position model. The record is from RNAcentral.